CAUCAGCCACUGAAGAGCAUAUCACCGUUUCUUUCACCCCCUGUGAGCUUCCUGUUACUUGACUUCUGUGGAAGAUUCAGUUUGAUCUCUCCUGGUGUCACGACUGGCAUUAAUUCAUAUUGCUGUAAUGAAAAAUUCUAAGGAGCAAAUAAAAGGGAUUUGGUCUUUGAAGCUGUGUUAUAUGCUAACUGCAGCCACACUGUGGAAGUCACACCUCCUCAGAAAAAUAUACAGACUCAGGUCAUUAGGACAUCUUCCUGAAAUCUGACAUUCUAGGAGACGAGUCCAUCAAAUACAGUAUUCUACCCAGGCUAUGUCCACGGCAAGAAUUAGAUUUAUUUUCGCAGAAUUUGACUUUCUUGAG
Long non-coding RNA from Lontra canadensis (Northern American river otter), 364 nucleotides. RefSeq lists it as uncharacterized. The transcript has 4 exons. The record is from RefSeq and is a predicted model, not a curated record. NCBI's taxonomy places the organism in Eukaryota, Metazoa, Chordata, Mammalia, Carnivora, Mustelidae.